Molecule: unclassified non-coding RNA, 271 nt
Filed under: Hevea brasiliensis (rubber tree)
Lineage: Eukaryota; Viridiplantae; Streptophyta; Magnoliopsida; Malpighiales; Euphorbiaceae
Source: RNAcentral
GCUCAACCGCGGCCUCGAAAUGAGCAUCAAGCGGCUGGUCGAUGACGUGCAGGUCGCGACGGACGCCGCUGCCGCCAAGGCAAACAACACGAUCACGCUGGGAACGGCGACCAUGCUCGCGCUCGGCGNCGUGCUCACGCUGGUCGGAUCGGCGCUGUUCGUCUGGCUCUAUGUCGGCCGCAACAUCCUUGGCCGCAUCGGCAACCUGCAGGACGUGAUGCGCCGCCUGUCCGAGGGCGAUCUCAAUGCCGAGGUCAAGCGCGGCCGCCAG